Long non-coding RNA from Myotis myotis, 1305 nucleotides. RefSeq lists it as uncharacterized. The transcript is spliced from 3 exons. The record is from RefSeq and is a predicted model, not a curated record. Lineage: Eukaryota; Metazoa; Chordata; Mammalia; Chiroptera; Vespertilionidae.
UCAGUCCACAGGCCGACCGACGCUCUAUCCCCUGAGCCAAACCGCUUUUCUUAAUUCUGAAUGACAAGAUGAUUGACAGAAACAAAGAAAAGCUCAUGAAGCAUGCUGGAGUCCUCUAACAUGAUAUGUAGCCUAGAACUUGUAUAGUUACACUCUUUGGGAGCCAUGUUUCUUAAUUUUAAAGAUCCAGAAGGAUAUAAAGCCAAUAAUACCACAGUAAUUGGAGAUUAACUUGAGGGGUGAUUCUAGUGCUGUGAAACAUUGGGAAAGGAAUGCUUCACGCUUCCUGGCACCUAGAAAGAAUUUGCUGUGAAUCAACAAGUCAGUGUAUCAGAAGCCUAGGGAGGAAGUAACCGGAACAAAGUAAAGUAACUUCUAGAAGGUGAUUUAAUGCAUAAAAAUUUCCAUUAGGUGUUGGUACUCUUAGUGAAAUUAGCUGUGGUCCAUUCUUAUACCUCUCCCAGUUGCUUCCUGCUUUCUCCCAUUGUUUUUUGGUGGGGGAACAUUUUCCUGCUUUCCCCAAAUCCACAAACUUUUCCAGCCUUUUCCUUAGUAGUCACAUUCUAGUGUAUUCUUUCCUGUACAGUGUGUGUGUGUGUGUGUGUGUGUGUGUGUGUGUGUGUGUCCCCAGCACUUAAUAAAAAAGAGUCCUGUGUUUGGGGAGUAAGGAGACUCGAGUUUUUUUUCUGACUGCCACUACCCAGUUUGGUAACCUUUCUGGGUCCCUGUUUCCUGACAAGAAAGCUGGAAAAGUUGAACUAGAUAAUACCUAAGGCCUUUGGAUGCUGACAGAGUGUGAUGCUGUGAAUCAUCUUUUUAAAAUGGCGUCUGUUUCAUUUUACUUCCAGAGAAUGAAUCAUCACUAGCCAUUUAGAAGUCAUAGGAGGUCCUUAACUUUUAAAAUAGCCAUUGGUAACUUAAAUGUAGGCAACAAAAAUAAAAAAAAUAAAGUCUAAUUUUUGAAAUUGCACAUUUUAGAUUUCUUUUUCAUAAAAGAAUUUCCUUUAGGAAGAAAAAUAUUCUAAAUCAUAAAUGCCUCUAUUUUAUUACUGUAUCAUCCCCUGUUUUAAGAAAACAUUAUGUGUAUAAUCUAUAUUAAGCAAAUAUAUUUAGAUAAUGAUUACUCAUUUUACAAAUAGAUAUUUUGCUUUGCAGAGGGACUCACUAUAGGGUGUCUUUAUUGUCUUCCUCAUGACUUUAACUCAUUUACAUAAAUUCAACUCAUAAUUUUUAGGAACAAAUCUAUUUUAUAGACUGACUAAAACCAUAUUGAGUCAGAUAUUCAAUGUAUAAUUCUAACCUUUA